AGCAGCCGCGGUAAUUCCAGCUCCAAUAGCGUGUAUUAAAGUUGUUGCAGUUAAAAAGCUCGUAGUUGAAUUUCGGGGUCAGUAGGUUGGUCGUGCCACUGGUACGUACUGGUCUCACUGAUUCCUCCUUCCUGAUGAACCGUAAUGCCAUUAAUUUGGUGUUGCGGGGAAACUGGACUGUUACUUUGAAAAAUUAGAGUGUUUAAAGCAGGCUAACGCUUGAAUACAUUAGCAUGGAAUAAUGAAAUAGGACGUUCGAUCCUAUUUUGUUGGUUUCUAGGAUUGACGUAAUGAUUAAUAGGGAUAGUUGGGGCAUUAGUAUUCAAUUGUCAGAGGUGAAAUUCUUGGAUUUAUUGAAGACUAACUACUGCGAAAGCAUUUUGCCAAGGAUGUUUUCAUUAAUCAAGAACGAAAGUUAGGGGAUCGAAGACGAUCAGAUACCGUCGUAGUCUUAACCAUAAACUAUGCCGAACUAGGGAUCGGAUGAUGUUAAUUUUUAAUGACUCAUUCGGCGCC
This 516-nucleotide ribosomal RNA is filed under the name uncultured Glomus. Its description in RNAcentral is "SSU rRNA". It matches the Rfam family "Eukaryotic small subunit ribosomal RNA", at positions 569 to 1087 of the family's 1831-position model. The record is from RNAcentral. Lineage: Eukaryota; Fungi; Glomeromycota; Glomeromycetes; Glomerales; Glomeraceae.